UUUGCAUUGUUGGAUAACGAUGUAGAAAAGUUGCGUAUCUCAUAAAGAGACAGAAAACCUAACAAGAAGAUCAUUUAAAAUAAAAUCCUCCCUGAAUUUUACAAUAUCACUUGAAUAUCUCUGCAUAAACUGAUCUACAAAAUAAAGAAAUAAUAAUGACAGGGAUUGCAUAAUGUUUUCAGAGGAUAGCUUCUGGUAUGCUGAUGUUACUGGGCCUUUUGUUGUAGUUUCACCAAAAAAUGGGCAUUCAGUCUGUUAUUUGCCCUAAUGCAAACAAAGUGCUAAAUGGGUGGGAGAAGAGUUGCAUGAUAGUGCUACUGGAAUGAAAUGAGCUGACCCUGCUAAAAUACAACAGAUUUAUGUAGUGCCUACCAGGAUGAAUACCAUCUUGUUAGAGUGAAAAGCCUACUGUGAGGAUGCAGGUAUAUCUGAAUUCACACACAAUGGAGAAAAAUCUUAAACAUCGCCCUAAACAACACAUAGCAUUGUACAAAGUAACUCAAUCCUAAUAAUGACUUUAAAAUGACCCUAUUAAUUCCAUAACUGCAAAUACAUUCUGUAUGAUCUUAUUAUAAAGCUAUUCAAAGGCCAAGCAGGGAAGCUUUAAGUCUCAAAAUCUUAAUGUGAUGAGAAGCUCCUAAAACAAGCUUUGUGUAGCUGUUUGCAGCUGUUUACCCAGCUGUCUCCAGCGAUUACACCAACCUUAUGAGGUGGUUGGCAUCUGAUGUAGAUUGAAGCCACCUUGCAACAACCCUCAUUUACCCUGGUAACACCACAGGCUGGUGGAUGAUUGAGUGGGCCCAAAAGUAGUGUGGCAGUGCUGCUUGAGAAUUAGUACUCCUUUGUUACUGCUUGCAAUGUGGUUACACUGGGUGUUAGUGCAUUGGUGAUACUUGCUGGAGAACUACUUUGAGGACAGGAUUUGGUACUAGGGCUGUGGACAUUUUGUGUUACAUUUCACAUAAGACACACAGUUGUUAAAGUCAUCUGCUGCUCAUCUUCUCUACUGCCACAGCUACCUGGUGGGCACAAGGCAGGCUUGAAUGAUUCAGAACAGCUGCCAUUUGGAGAGCGCACUCAGAACUGCUUGGAAAUAGCACUGGGAGGAGAGAGUUCUGUGCAGCAGCGAGACAUUCGGGAUGUCCAGGUGGGUGUGUUUUGGAGUGCUGUCUGCCUGUGCAGCCACCUGAAGGUCAAGCAAUGAUUCAGAAAGGUACUAUGAAAUAGUAUUUUAUUCCAAAUUCAGCAUUGCCACCUAAAACCAAAAAUAUUAAUAGUGGUGGGAAAAAAGUCUAAAU
RNAcentral lists this long non-coding RNA (1298 nucleotides) under Anser brachyrhynchus (Pink-footed goose). RNAcentral's name for it is "lncRNA (ENSABRG00000020190.1)". Lineage: Eukaryota; Metazoa; Chordata; Aves; Anseriformes; Anatidae. The record is from RNAcentral.